AGCGAACGCUGGCGGCAGGCUUAACACAUGCAAGUCGAACGGGCGUAGCAAUACGUCAGUGGCAGACGGGUGAGUAACACGUGGGAACGUACCUUUUGGUUCGGAACAACACAGGGAAACUUGUGCUAAUACCGAAUAAGCCCUUACGGGGAAAGAUUUAUCGCCGAAAGAUCGGCCCGCGUCUGAUUAGCUAGUUGGUGAGGUAAUGGCUCACCAAGGCGACGAUCAGUAGCUGGUCUGAGAGGAUGAUCAGCAACACUGGGACUGAGACACGGCCCAGACUCCUACGGGAGGCAGCAGUGGGGAAUCUUAGACAAUGGGGGAAACCCUGAUCUAGCCAUGCCGCGUGAGCGAUGAAGGCCUUAGGGUUGUAAAGCUCUUUCAGAUGGGAAGAUAAUGACGGUACCAUCAGAAGAAGCCCCGGCUAACUCCGUG
Molecule: ribosomal RNA, 435 nt
Filed under: uncultured bacterium
Lineage: Bacteria
Description: bacterial SSU rRNA
Rfam family: Bacterial small subunit ribosomal RNA
Source: RNAcentral